UACGGAGGGGGCUAGCGUUGUUCGGAAUUACUGGGCGUAAAGCGCACGUAGGCGGCUUUGUAAGUUAGAGGUGAAAAGCCCCGGAGCUCAACUCGGAAUUGCCUUUAAGACUGCAUCGCUCGAAUCCAGGAGAGGUGAGUGGAAUUCCGAGUGUAGAGGUGAAAAUUCGUAGGUAUUCGGAAGAACACCAGUGGCGAAGGCGGCUCACUGGACUGGUAUUGACGCUGAGGUGCGAA
This 236-nucleotide ribosomal RNA is filed under the name uncultured bacterium. RNAcentral describes it as "partial 16S ribosomal RNA". It matches the Rfam family "Bacterial small subunit ribosomal RNA", at positions 524 to 757 of the family's 1533-position model. The record is from RNAcentral.